This 363-nucleotide small RNA is filed under the name Histoplasma capsulatum. RNAcentral describes it as "hypothetical RNA". RNAcentral also lists the same sequence under 1 other name. The record is from RNAcentral. Lineage: Eukaryota; Fungi; Ascomycota; Eurotiomycetes; Onygenales; Ajellomycetaceae.
CUUUGUAGUUUUUGACUGCAUGUGUCAAUUGCAUUCUGUUUGUUAUUAGACUUUUCCCUCUCCUGCUCAAUGUCUGCCAUCAGGAAAAAUGGGUAUCAUUCAAAACUUGUCUUGCUGCAGUUUGAGUGAAGUUUGCGAUAAGAUUGACUGAGUUUGGGAAAGUUUGUUUUUCCUUUCAAGAGUUGGAGGGAUUUUGAUAAGAUCAGUGGUAAGAGCAAUUAAAAAGAGGAAGUUUGACAGAAGUGGAGAUAAAAUGAACCACAUUAGCAAGAAGUUGGACUUUGAUUGUGGUUCUUUUGGGACAAGUUUAAGAAUUUAGUGAAAAUUGAUGGUAAAGUACAAAAUGUUGAGAAGUUUGAUAGA